This 498-nucleotide ribosomal RNA is filed under the name uncultured bacterium. RNAcentral's name for it is "partial 16S ribosomal RNA". It matches the Rfam family "Bacterial small subunit ribosomal RNA", at positions 30 to 523 of the family's 1533-position model. The record is from RNAcentral.
AUUGAACGCUGGCGGCAUGCCUUACACACGCAAGUCGAACGGUAACAGGUCUUCGGAUGCUGACGAGUGGCGAACGGGUGAGUAAUACAUCGGAACGUGCCUAGUAGUGGGGGAUAACUACUCGAAAGAGUGGCUAAUACCGCAUGAGAUCUACGGAUGAAAGCAGGGGAUCGCAAGACCUUGUGCUACUAGAGCGGCCGAUGGCAGAUUAGGUAGUUGGUGUGAUAAAAGCUUACAAAGCCGACGAACUGUAGCUGGUCUGAGAGGAAGAUCAGCCACACUGGGACUGAGACACGGCCCAGACUGAUACGGGAGGCAGCAGUGGGGAAUUUUGGACAAUGGGCGAAAGCCUGAUACAGCAAUGCCGCGUGCAGGAUGAAGGCCUUCGGGUUGUAAACUGCUUUUGUACGGAACGAAAAGCCCCGGGUUAAUACCCUGGGGUCAUGACGGUACCGUAAGAAUAAGCACCGGCUAACUACGUGCCAGCCGCCGCCGUAA